GACCGUCGUGAGACAGGUUAGUUUUACCCUACUGAUGGAGUGUUACCGUAACAGUAAUUGAGGGUAGUACGAGAGGAACUGCUCAUUCAGAUAAUUGGUAUUUGCGCCUGUCCGAUCGGGCAAUGGCGCGAAGCUAUCAACUGCUAGAUUAUGGCUGAACGCCUCUAAGUCAGAAUCUGUACUGGAAACGGUGAUGUUGGUCCCGCACAUGUUAGAUGUGUUUAAAUAGAGCUUCGGCUUGUGAACCAUAAAUGUUGGCUUAGUAGUUUGGACGGAAAGGUCCUUGUUACUCGCUGAUGAAUUGAAAUUGAGAUAUGGGCGGGGGUGAAUCCUUUGUAGACGACUUAAUGGGAACGGGGUGCUGUAAGCAGUAGAGUAGCCUUGUUGCUACGAUCUGCUGAGGCUAAGCCCU
This 412-nucleotide ribosomal RNA is filed under the name Chloropicon mariensis. RNAcentral's name for it is "partial Eukaryotic large subunit ribosomal RNA". It matches the Rfam family "Eukaryotic large subunit ribosomal RNA", at positions 2966 to 3385 of the family's 3401-position model. The record is from RNAcentral. Lineage: Eukaryota; Viridiplantae; Chlorophyta; Chloropicophyceae; Chloropicales; Chloropicaceae.